UACGUAGGCAGCAAGCGUUGUUCGGAGUUACUGGGCGUAAAGAGUGUGUAGGCGGUGCUCUAAGUUUGGUGUGAAAUCUCCCGGCUCAACUGGGAGGGUGCGCCGAAAACUGGAGUGCUUGAGUGUGGGAGAGGAAAGCGGAAUUCCUGGUGUAGCGGUGAAAUGCGUAGAUAUCAGGAGGAACACCUGCGGUGUAGACGGCUUUCUGGACCAUUACUGACGCUGAGACACGAAAGCGUGGGUAGCAAACAGG
This 253-nucleotide ribosomal RNA is filed under the name uncultured bacterium. Its description in RNAcentral is "partial 16S ribosomal RNA". It matches the Rfam family "Bacterial small subunit ribosomal RNA", at positions 524 to 776 of the family's 1533-position model. The record is from RNAcentral.